AAUAGCCCUGUGGUGUAUACCAUAUUGAAUUGCAAAUUCAAAGAAGCAGCUUCAAUUCUGCCGGGGCUU
Molecule: transfer RNA, 69 nt
Filed under: Anourosorex squamipes (mole shrew)
Lineage: Eukaryota; Metazoa; Chordata; Mammalia; Eulipotyphla; Soricidae
Description: tRNA-Cys
Rfam family: tRNA
About the family: Transfer RNA (tRNA) molecules are approximately 80 nucleotides in length. Their secondary structure includes four short double-helical elements and three loops (D, anti-codon, and T loops).
Source: RNAcentral